RNAcentral lists this ribosomal RNA (253 nucleotides) under uncultured bacterium. RNAcentral describes it as "partial 16S ribosomal RNA". It matches the Rfam family "Bacterial small subunit ribosomal RNA", at positions 524 to 776 of the family's 1533-position model. The record is from RNAcentral.
UACGUAGGGUGCAAGCGUUGUCCGGAAUUAUUGGGCGUAAAGAGCUCGUAGGCGGUCUGUCGCGUCGGCUGUGAAAACCCGAGGCUCAACCUCGGGCCUGCAGUCGAUACGGGCAGACUAGAGUGUGGUAGGGGAGACUGGAAUUCCCAGUGUAGCGGUGAAAUGCGUAGAUACUGGGAGGAACACCAGUGGCGAAGGCGGCUACCUGGACCGGUUCUGACGCUGAGGCGCGAAAGCGUGGGUAGCAAACAGG